GCUUAAGGUAUUUCAGUCUGUUUUAUGUUACUCAUUUGCGAAAAGCAGGCUCAUCGAAUACAGGUGAGUUUCAACGCGUCUUGAAUAUGGCAGCAUUUAAAAGUCUUCAGACCAGGCAUGGUGGCUCAUGCCUGUCAUCCCAGCACUUUGGGAGGCCAAGGUGGGAGGAUUGCUUGAGGCCAGGAGUUCGAGACCAGCCUGUUCAGCAUAGCAGGACCCCCAUCUCUACAAAAACUAAACAGAUUAGCUAGGUGUGGUGGUGUGUGCCUGUAGUCCUAGCUGCUUGGGAGGCUGAGGCAGGCGGAUAGCCUGAGCACAGGAGUUGGAGGCUGCAGUAAGCCAUGAUUACACCACUGCACUUGAGCCUGGGCAGCAGAGUGAGACCUGUCUUUAAAAAAAAAAAGGAGCUGGGCACGGUGGCUCAUGCCUGUAAUCCCAGCACUUUGGGAGGCCGAGGCAGGCAGAUCACGAGGUCAGGAGAUCGAGACCAUCCUGGCUAACAGUGAAACCCUGUCUCUACUGAAAAUACAAAAAAAAUCAGCCGGGCGUGGUGGCGGGUGCCUGUAGUCCCAGCUGCUCGGGAGGCUGAGGCAGGAGAAUGGCAUGAACCCAGGAGUUGGAGCUUGCAGUGAGCCGAGAUUGUGCCACUGCACUCCAGCCUGGGCGACAGUGAGACUGCUUCUCAAAAAAAAAAAAAAAAAAAAAAAAAAGAAAGGGUCUUCAAAGACAAUAAGAUCUGUGCUCUCACGUAGGGUGGAUGAGGGGCUGCCAAGUUAGCAAUGAAUGUUUCCCAUUUCUUCUUAGUUUAUGGACUUUCCAUAAACUCAGGAUGGCAGUUUGGUUGGUUGGAGAAGGAUAUGGUGAUGGCGGGAGUUACAAUACAUUACUUAUAGGGGAAGAUAGGCUUUUGAAAGGUUAAAGCUUAAAAGUGAGAAUGGAAAAGGGAUGAAUGAAUGAACAUGAUGAGGUGAGAGGGAAGAGGUAAAGGGAAAAGGAGAACAAGCAACUCUUCUCUGCGUGGCACCUGGGAUGAAUGGUUUCUGGGGACAUCCCUGAUGGCAGUUUUGUGGAGAGGUGCAAAGCUUUAUGUGUUAAGAAAUGAGCUGUAGGCUCAGUGCAGUGGCUCACGCCUGUAAUCCCAGCACUUUGGGAGGCCGAGGUGGGUGAAAAGAAAAAAUGGGCUGGGCGCCGUGGCUCACGCCUGUAAUCCCAGCACUUUGGGAGGCCGAGGUGGGCGGAUCAUGAGGUAAGGAGUUCGAGAGCAGCCUGGCCAACAUGGUGAAACCGUGUCUCUCCAAAAAAAUAGAAAAAACAUCCCUGUAUGGUGGUGAGCACCUGUAGUCCCAGUUACUCAGGAGGCUGAGGCAUGAGAAUCGCUUAAACCUCGGAGGCGGAGGCUGCAAUGAGCUGAGAUGGUGCCACUGCACUCCAGCCUGGGUGACAGAGCUGGGUGGUGGCUCAAGAUAUGUUUUGUAAACCUGAAGAUUUGAGAUCAUAUAAGCCAAAUCGAAACUUAAUUGGCAUUCAUAACUUUUGGUUCUAGAGACUCCAUGAUCAACUAAGAGCCACCAAACAUUUCCCAUGUAGACUAUUUUGACCAUGCUGACUCUACUGACACUGUGGUUACUGAAUUCACUUUAUCUCUAGAAAUUAAUUCUUACUAAUGGAUGUCUGUCACUGUAAGAUCCUUCUCUCCUCUGAAAUAAGGAGAACAUUUUAACUUCAGUAGUUUAAACUAGUGUCCUAAACUAUAGCAUUCAAAAUGAGAUAAUAUGCUAAAGUAAUACACAAACCAAAAAUCCCAGUGGCUAACACAAAAAGUUUUUCUUAUUCAUUUUACAUAUCCAGGGUAAGUCAGUAAUAGACGCAGACACACCCAGAGACCAAGGAUGAGUUGUGAUCUGUCUGCACACAUAGUUCACAAUGCCUGAACUUGCUAUAAUUCUGUGAGAGAGCUAUAAAAGUCUGCUCAGAAACAUUAUAAUGUAAAAUGGACAGAGAAGGACAAUGAGAUAUUUAAUUUGCCACGGCAAAGCCAUUGCUGUGAAGAAUGGAUAAUAUAUGUCAAUGGUAAUAUAUGAAGAAAUAACACAGGUGUCAGUUUCUUGGUCGGGAAUGAAAAUAGUGCCAACCUGUGAUACCUUCACUCUAAUUUUACUUUCUGAGGAAGUUUUCUGUAAUAGUUAUUUGGUGAUAAUUAUUAAUACUGGUGAG
RNA transcript from Homo sapiens (human), 2214 nucleotides. It is a transcript of the gene named GUSB pseudogene 14, with no coding region annotated. The transcript is spliced from 3 exons. Lineage: Eukaryota; Metazoa; Chordata; Mammalia; Primates; Hominidae. The record is from RefSeq and is marked validated.